RNAcentral lists this non-coding RNA (94 nucleotides) under unclassified sequences. RNAcentral's name for it is "DUF3800-IV RNA". It matches the Rfam family "DUF3800-IV RNA". The record is from Rfam by way of RNAcentral.
GUGAGCGGUUAGAAGCUCGCUGGGGAUAACGCCAGAGGUGCUGUCACCUCACCCGUUAAGUCGGUCGGCCCCCAGGACGCCUCUAGCCGCUCAU